Molecule: ribosomal RNA, 486 nt
Filed under: uncultured bacterium
Lineage: Bacteria
Description: partial 16S ribosomal RNA
Rfam family: Bacterial small subunit ribosomal RNA
Source: RNAcentral
AUUGAACGCUGGCGGCAUGCCUUACACAUGCAAGUCGAACGGCAGCACGGGUGCUUGCACCUGGUGGCGAGUGGCGAACGGGUGAGUAAUACAUCGGAACAUGUCCUGUAGUGGGGGAUAGCCCGGCGAAAGCCGGAUUAAUACCGCAUACGAUCUACGGAUGACAGCGGGGGACCUUCGGGCCUCGCGCUGUAGGGUUGGCCGAUGGCUGAUUAGCUAGUUGGUGGGGUAAAGGCCUACCAAGGCGACGAUCAGUAGCUGGUCUGAGAGGACGACCAGCCACACUGGGACUGAGACACGGCCAAGACUCCUACGGGAGGCAGCAGUGGGGAAUUUUGGACGAUGGGCGAAAGCCUGAUCCAGCAAUGCCGCGUGUGUGAAGAAGGCCUUCGGGUUGUAAAGCACUUUUGUCCGGAAAGAAAUCCUUGGCCCUAAUACGGUCGGGGGAUGACGGUACCGGAAGAAUAAGCACCGGCUAACUACGUG